This 421-nucleotide long non-coding RNA is filed under the name Ricinus communis (castor bean). RNAcentral describes it as "long non-coding RNA (RCOM_LNC001461)". Lineage: Eukaryota; Viridiplantae; Streptophyta; Magnoliopsida; Malpighiales; Euphorbiaceae. The record is from RNAcentral.
CCAUGCUUAAACAAAAUUUAUUCCACAUGCAACGGGACGGAGUACUUCAGUAGAACUCUAAUCCCAACUCUAAAAUCUCGAUUAUUUCAACACUUAUGUCUCAACUAACCUCAACUCUAACAUCUCAAACCUCUCAUUCCAACAGGACUGGCGCCCAGAGAGCAAAGCUCGACCAGGGACCUUACCUUCAGUCCGGUCACUUAACUCUCAGCCUUAGCCUUUUGGCUCUCUUAUCCAAUAAGACUGGCGCCCCGAGAGCAAUGCUCGACCAGGGACCUUACCUCCAGUCUGGUCACUUAAGUAUCCAAAUAAGAAAUCUAGUAGCCAUUCGGCUCUCUUAAUCCAAUAAGACUGGCGCCCCGAGAGCAAUGCUCGACCAGGGACCUUACCUCCAGUCUGGUCACUUAAAUAUCCAAAUAAG